AGUGAACGCUGGCGGUAGGCUUAACACAUGCAAGUCGAACGGCAGCACAGUAAGAGCUUGCUCUUACGGGUGGCGAGUGGCGGACGGGUGAGGAAUACAUCGGAAUCUACUUUUUCGUGGGGGAUAACGUAGGGAAACUUACGCUAAUACCGCAUACGACCUACGGGUGAAAGCAGGGGAUCUUCGGACCUUGUGCGACUGAAUGAGCCGAUGUCGGAUUGGCUAGUUGGCGGGGUAAAGGCCCACCAAGGCGACGAUCUGUAGCUGGUCUGGGAGGAUGUGCACCGCCACAGGAGGUGAGAGACGAUCCAGAGACCGACAGGAGGCAGCAGUGGGGAAUAUAGGGCACAGGGCGCAAGCGUGAUCCAGCCAUACCGCGUGGGUGAAGAAGGCCUGCGGGUGGUAUAACCCUUUUGUUGGGGAAAAAAAGGAGCGCGUUAAUACCCCGCUGUUCGAAGGGAACCGGAAGAGAAGGCACCGGCAAACACGGU
Molecule: ribosomal RNA, 491 nt
Filed under: uncultured bacterium
Lineage: Bacteria
Description: partial 16S ribosomal RNA
Rfam family: Bacterial small subunit ribosomal RNA
Source: RNAcentral